UUUAUGUACAUAGUAAAACAAUGGAGUCAAUUCGUCACACGUAGGAAACAAUAACAAUGCAUAUGGUAUAAUAUUAAAUUCUGAGAAUAUAAUUGGUAAUUUUAUACUGAAAAAAGUAGGUAUUAGUUUUUUCAUUAAAAUAAAAUAAGUUAAAAUCUAAAAAAGAUAUAAAUAAAAUGAUUAACCUUUUGUAAUUGCUCUUUUAAUUAAAAUUGUUGAAUGGAAAAUCCUAAUAGUUACGACUUUAAAAGAUAACUUCAAGAUAAGUUAAUUUCUAUUGUUCCUAUGAUAGUGUGAGUGAACUUUAAAACCAAAUUUAUUUUGUACCAAUAUUAAAGGUGUUAUAUUUGUGUACCUACUAAUAUAUGUUCACCUUAUUUAUCAUUAUUUACUUGUAUUGUGUACAUUAAAGAAUAAAUAAAUAUAUUUUAUUGACUUAUAGGGACACAAUACAAUCCGGUUACGGUGGCAAGAAGUUGCCUCUAACCGAUCUAUCUCGAAGUCAUUGGGAAUAGAUUUUCGUUGAUUUAGAGUGAAGGCCCAGGCCAGCUAAGGUUGCUUGACUGGGAGGCCAAGUCAACAAUUGGUACAAACGACAAAAAUGACACUCAUUGGCUUUGUGUUAGAUAUUGGGGCCCGGGACUCGGUGCCACCCAUGCUUUACUUGCCCAGUCCGGCCCUGACAAAAAUCAAAAUAAAAAAGACAGUAUUUCGUCAAUAUUAACUAAAACAAUAAUCAUUGAUUUAUCUGAUUGAUGUUCUUACAUUAUAAAUUUUCCAAUCAACUGUUCUAUAUUAUAUUUCCAUUAAGUUAAUCUGUCAUUAUAAUGUUUGUUUACUAAUAGAAUUGAAGGAAUGUUCACGAAAACACGUUUAGUUUACCGGCCGGACCGCGAUUUGUGCAGUAAAACUAAUAUCUAGUAUUUUUUUAUCUUUAUAAAACCGGUUCCCUAAUGGUGCCGUAGUAUGUUAAGUUCAAGUUUAAUCAAUUCCGUGUCCGAGUUUUGUUUCAUUGAUAUACACAUUCUAACCUAUUUGUUUAAUAUUUUUUCGUUAUUGUUUCUAGAAACUCAGGCAAUAAAAUAGCAAUUUUUCUGGCCUAUUGCCAAUUUUUCUAUGCAAGUGAACUCGAAGACCCUUGUCCGGCAGUGGCGCGGUGACCUGUCUACGUAGUAUACCCUUUUAUUAAAAAAAGUCUAGAUGCAACUAGGCCCUAGUUACUAGGGGUUACUAAGGAAAUGGCGAAAUUAUUAUGUAAGUUACAAACUUACAAUAUUAGUAUCCCGCUUUCACCAAGAAACUAUGUAAGAACUAAGAACCAGGUGUGUUAGUGUUACCUAAGCUUCAAAACACUUAAAUAGGUUCUAUUUGAACACUAACCGCUUAGUGCAUUACUUGGUCGUAAAACUUUAUGCUAGCCAGUACAUUCUAGGUAACUUCCUUACUAAAAUUGUAAAUAUGAAUGUAUGAUUGUUCGUUACGCUUUCGCGCUUAAGCCGCUGAACCGAUUUUGAUUAAUUUGGCUGCAAAGAUAGAUGAGCUGCGGGUUGCAGAAAUGAAUAUUGGGUAAAUCUAUAAAAAUAGAUUAUCUUUCGUAAUAUUUUUAUUACGCGUGUGAAACCGCAGAACUGUGUUAGAAACACAUUAGCAUUUUUUUUAGUGCAGUCGCGAUAUAAGUAAGGUAGGGUAAUUGAUCAAACUUUUAAUGUUAACACAUAAUUAUGAAGAUACCCAGAGCUGAGGACUGCCUGGCGGAUAACCGGGGCUCCGGCUCGAAAAGCAGGUGUUGGGACGGGGUGGUUUUUAGUGAUGUCCAACAAUCAAUAUCAAAGAGUCUGACAAUCGAAAGUCUCGCCUCGCCCAAGGCGGGAGAAGUAAUUGGAUGAUUCCCCCCUCAAAACAGAAACACGUUGUGCAGAUAUUACUUAUACUAUACUAUGUAUACUUGGUACAUACCUAGGUAUAAAUAUCUAGGUUUAUGAUAAAAUAAACUUAUAAUAAGAAUGUCAUUUUAUACUAAUUUGUCUUACUUGUCUAACCUCGGUUAUCAAUUUAAUAUCCUAUAAUACUUGAAUAAGAUGUGCUUUAGCACUAAAAUACAAA
This is a long non-coding RNA of Spodoptera frugiperda (fall armyworm), 2103 nucleotides long. RefSeq lists it as uncharacterized. Lineage: Eukaryota; Metazoa; Arthropoda; Insecta; Lepidoptera; Noctuidae. The transcript has 2 exons. The record is from RefSeq and is a predicted model, not a curated record.